UACAGAGCCUGCAAGCGUUAUUCGGAUUCCCUGGGCGUAAAGGGUGCGCAGGCGGCCAAGUGUGUUAGGCGUGAAAGCCUGGGGCUUAACCCCAGAAUUGCACCUAAAACUACAUGGCUAGAGCAUUGGAGAGGGUAGCGGAAUUCACGGUGUAGCAGUGAAAUGCGUAGAUAUCGUGAGGAACACCAGAGGCGAAGGCGGCUACCUGGACAAUUGCUGACGCUCAGGCACGAAAGCGUGGGGAGCAAAAGGG
RNAcentral lists this ribosomal RNA (253 nucleotides) under uncultured bacterium. Its description in RNAcentral is "partial 16S ribosomal RNA". It matches the Rfam family "Bacterial small subunit ribosomal RNA", at positions 524 to 776 of the family's 1533-position model. The record is from RNAcentral.